UGGCUCAAAUGAACGUUGGCGGCGUGGAUUAGGCAUGCAAGUCGAGCGAGUAGGGGCUGCUCAUCACGUCCAUCGGACUAGCCCCCGGUUCUUCAAACCGGGCGGUGGCAUCCCGUGGCCGAGAUGAGUAGCCCCGGACAGCGGCGAAAGGGAGAGUAACGCGUAGUUAUGUACCCAGGGGUUCGGAAUAGCCACGGGAAACUGUGGGUAAUGCCGAAUAAUAUCUCCGGAUCAAAGGUGUGAUUCCGCCCUUGGAGCAGACUGCGUCCUACUAGCUAGUUGGUGGGGUAAUGGCCCACCAAGGCAACAAUGGGUAGCGGGUGUGAGAGCAUGACCCGUCUCACUGGGACUGAGACACUGCCCAGACACCUACGGGUGGCUGCAGUCGAGAAUCUUCGGCAAUGGGCGAAAGCCUGACCGAGCGACGCCGCGUGCGGGAUGAAGGCCCUCGGGUCGUAAACCGCUGUCGUAGGGGAGGAAGGCUCUGUGAAGAACAGGGUUUGACCUAUCCUAGGAGGAAGUUCGGGCUAAGUUCGUGCCAGCAGCCGCGGUAAUACGAACCGUACAAACGUUAUUCGGAAUCACUGGGCUUAAAGGGUGCGUAGGCGGCCACGUAAGUGAGAUGUGAAAUCCCUCGGCUCACCGAGGAAGUGCAUUUCAUACUGCAUGGCUUGAGGGAGACAGGGGUAAGCGGAACUGAUGGUGGAGCGGUGAAAUGCGUUGAUAUCAUCAGAACACCGGUGGCGAAGCGGCUUACUGGGUCUCUUCUGACGCUGAGUACGAAAGCUAGGGAGCG
RNAcentral lists this ribosomal RNA (796 nucleotides) under uncultured bacterium. RNAcentral describes it as "bacterial SSU rRNA". It matches the Rfam family "Bacterial small subunit ribosomal RNA", at positions 20 to 770 of the family's 1533-position model. The record is from RNAcentral.